GGAGCUGGCUGGGUGAUCGCCGCUGCACCCGUUUGACGGGGGCAGGGGAGGAAAGUCCGAGCUCCAUAGGGCAGGGUGCCGGGUAACCCCCGGUGGGGGCGACCCCAAGGAAAGUGCCACAGAAAGGAAACCGCCAGUCGUCUCGUGGCUUCGGCCUAAGGCGCUGGUAAGGGUGAAAGGGUGCGGUAAGAGCGCACCGGGGCGCUGGUAACAGAGCCCGCAUGGUAAACCCCACCUGGAGCAAGACCGAACAGGGAGGGCUCGUCGCUCUUUCGAGCACGAGCCGGGACGGCCCGUCCCCAUCCCAGGUAGCGUCGCUCGAGCCUCGUGGCAACGCGGGGCCUAGAUGAAUGAUCACCACGCGCGGCGGGUAACCCAAGCGCGGACAGAACUCGGCUUACAAGCCUGCCUCCGAC
Molecule: RNase P RNA, 416 nt
Filed under: Pseudomonadota bacterium
Lineage: Bacteria; Pseudomonadati; Pseudomonadota
Description: Proteobacteria bacterium RNase P RNA component class A
Rfam family: Bacterial RNase P class A
About the family: Ribonuclease P (RNase P) is a ubiquitous endoribonuclease, found in archaea, bacteria and eukarya as well as chloroplasts and mitochondria. Its best characterised activity is the generation of mature 5'-ends of tRNAs by cleaving the 5'-leader elements of precursor-tRNAs.
Source: RNAcentral